GUUUUCAAGGGGCUCAGCAUGGGUUCUGGAGAUAAGACUUACAUGCAUGUCAAUGUGUUAGCAGUCCUUGCAGGGUUGGAGUGUCUCACUCAACCAAGAAUAAAAAUAGGAGAUUUUACUACAAAAUAUAUUAUGCAUAAUCUGCUUAUUACUAAUUUUGUCAUUUCAGGAUGAUCAGUAUGAUUUUUUUUGCAUGGUAGAUCUGAAAUAUUAACUUGGUAGGAUGGAGUCGAGACUAGGGCUCAUGGACAAGAAGAUUGGAUGGCUGAUUCUAUCAAUGUUAUUGGAGAUAAUUUUCACUUUUCUUUUGAUGUUAAUAUUAGUGCGGCUGUAAUCAUUUGAUUAUUGAGGUCAA
RNAcentral lists this long non-coding RNA (355 nucleotides) under Elaeis guineensis (African oil palm). RNAcentral describes it as "long non-coding RNA (EGUI_LNC004829)". The record is from RNAcentral. Lineage: Eukaryota; Viridiplantae; Streptophyta; Magnoliopsida; Arecales; Arecaceae.